GAUGAACGCUGGCGGCGUGCCUAAUACAUGCAAGUCGAGCGAACAGACGAGGAGCUUGCUCCUCUGACGUUAGCGGCGGACGGGUGAGUAACACGUGGAUAACCUACCUAUAAGACUGGGAUAACUUCGGGAAACCUGAGCUAAUACCGGAUAAUAUAUUGAACCGCAUGGUUCAAUAGUUAAAGACGGUUUUGCUGUCACUUAUAGAUGGAUCCGCGCCGCAUUAGCUAGUUGGUAAGGUAACGGCUUACCAAGGCAACGAUGCGUAGCCGACCUGAGAGGGUGAUCAGCCACACUGGAACUGAGACACGGUCCAGACUCCUACGGGAGGCAGCAGUAGGGAAUCUUCCGCAAUGGGCGAAAGCCUGACGGAGCAACGCCGCGUGAGUGAUGAAGGUCUUCGGAUCGUAAAACUCUGUUAUUAGGGAAGAACAAAUGUGUAAGUAACCAUGCACGUCUUGACGGUACCUAAUCAGAAAGCCACGGCUAACUACGUG
Molecule: ribosomal RNA, 497 nt
Filed under: uncultured bacterium
Lineage: Bacteria
Description: partial 16S ribosomal RNA
Rfam family: Bacterial small subunit ribosomal RNA
Source: RNAcentral